UAAAAAUUAGUUAAUAAAUAAUAUUAAAAUGUCAUUUUAAAGUAAUUAAUAUUUUUAAUAUUUUUAA
This 67-nucleotide transfer RNA is filed under the name Diolcogaster sp. SNS-2016. RNAcentral describes it as "tRNA-Asp". The record is from RNAcentral. Lineage: Eukaryota; Metazoa; Arthropoda; Insecta; Hymenoptera; Braconidae.